GUGAUCACUUCGGCAGCACAUAUACUAAAAUUGAAAUGAUACAAAGAAGAUUAGCAUGGCCCUUGCACAAAGAUGACACGCAAAUUCAGGAAGCGUUCCAUAUUAAA
This 107-nucleotide small nuclear RNA is filed under the name Meriones unguiculatus (Mongolian gerbil). Lineage: Eukaryota; Metazoa; Chordata; Mammalia; Rodentia; Muridae. The record is from RNAcentral.